Molecule: ribosomal RNA, 497 nt
Filed under: uncultured bacterium
Lineage: Bacteria
Description: partial 16S ribosomal RNA
Rfam family: Bacterial small subunit ribosomal RNA
Source: RNAcentral
GAUGAACGCUGGCGGCGUGCCUAAUACAUGCAAGUCGAGCGAACAGACGAGGAGCUUGCUCCUCUGACGUUAGCGGCGGACGGGUGAGUAACACGUGGAUAACCUACCUAUAAGACUGGGAUAACUUCGGGAAACCGGAGCUAAUACCGGAUAAUAUAUUGAACCGCAUGGUUCAAUAGUGAAAGACGGUUUUGCUGUCACUUAUAGAUGGAUCCGCGCCGCAUUAGCUAGUUGGUAAGGUAACGGCUUACCAAGGCGACGAUGCGUAGCCGACCUGAGAGGGUGAUCGGCCACACUGGAACUGAGACACGGUCCAGACUCCUACGGGAGGCAGCAGUAGGGAAUCUUCCGCAAUGGGCGAAAGCCUGACGGAGCAACGCCGCGUGAGUGAUGAAGGUCUUCGGAUCGGAAAGCUCUGUUAUUAGGGAAGAACAAAUGUGUAAGUAACUAUGCACGUCUUGACGGUACCUAAUCAGAAAGCCACGGCUAACUACGUG